This 114-nucleotide small RNA is filed under the name Strongyloides ratti. RNAcentral's name for it is "sRNA SRAE_X000600044". The record is from RNAcentral. Lineage: Eukaryota; Metazoa; Nematoda; Chromadorea; Rhabditida; Strongyloididae.
GUUGGAUAUGGAGAUGUUAUACCAGUAACAGUAGCUGGGAAACUUAUUGCUAGUGGAGCUAUAAUUAGUGGAGUUCUUGUUUUAGCAUUACCAAUAACAAUAAUAGUUGAUAAU